This 237-nucleotide ribosomal RNA is filed under the name uncultured bacterium. Its description in RNAcentral is "partial 16S ribosomal RNA". It matches the Rfam family "Bacterial small subunit ribosomal RNA", at positions 100 to 334 of the family's 1533-position model. The record is from RNAcentral.
CCGGCACGGGUGAGUAACGCGUAUCCAACCUGCCUUACACUCUUGGACAGCCUUCUGAAAGGGAGAUUAAUACAAGAUGUUAUCAUGAGUAAGCAUUUUCACAUGAUUAAAGGUUUACCGGUGCAAGAUGGGGAUGCGUUCCAUUAGAUAGUAGGCGGGGUAACGGCCCACCUAGUCUUCGAUGGAUAGGGGUUCUGAGAGGAAGGUCCCCCACAUUGGAACUGAGACACGGUCCAA